This 73-nucleotide transfer RNA is filed under the name Ixodes scapularis (black-legged tick). It matches the Rfam family "tRNA". Rfam says of the family: Transfer RNA (tRNA) molecules are approximately 80 nucleotides in length. The record is from Rfam by way of RNAcentral. Lineage: Eukaryota; Metazoa; Arthropoda; Arachnida; Ixodida; Ixodidae.
CCCUGGUUAGCUCCGCUGGUAGAGCGCUCCACUGGAAAUGGGGAGGUCCCGGGUUCGAUACCCGGACCAGGCG